UGUACUUGCCAGGCAGGGAGGCCUAUGUGGAGUCUUAAACUUGACAGGGAAUGCCUGUUGCUUUAACAUUUCUGAUAAUGGUGAGGCAAUCCGUGUGUUGGCCACAAAGAUGGAGAGUAUAGCACAUGUCCCAGUACAAAUAUGGGAAGGAUGGGAUAUGGGAUGGCUCACCAAUUGGUUACCUAAUGUUGCGGGACUCAAAGGGAUACUAUUGUCUUGCUUGUUUUUCUUGACGGUAGUAGUAAUGGUUUUAUGUACGGUGCCAUGUAUCAUUUCAUGUUUUAGAAGUACAAUUAGCAAGAUGAUUUCAAAUGAAACUUUACCUCAUAUUAUGGCCCUAUACAGAGCUUUACCUCAGGAAUAUGACGAAGGUCAAGCUAUCAAGGACACUUGGGAUGAAGGUCCUUGAGCUUGAAAGGGGGGAAUGAGGCAUCUGAUCAAGAUCUGCUUUGAGCUUAAAAAAUAUAUUUGUAGAUAUUUUUAUCUCUCAUGCCAGGGAAGAUCAGCUGAAUACUCUGGCAGCUGUUCAAGGGGCCCCACUGCUAUAAAUAAAAGUAUUUCAAGGUUGUAAAAGGAAAUUAGAGCCAGAGAGCAAAAGGUCACACUGACCAGAAUACAAUCAAGCUGCAAAAGCACAAUUAAGAGCUGGUAAAUAGUGAAAUUUAUUGUUUAACAGAAGACUCGAGCCAUAAGGUUAAAGGUUAAAUUGCAAGAGGAACAGCAGCUGGUUAGAAAAAAAAGGUUUCUCUCCAAACUGUUUU
RNAcentral lists this long non-coding RNA (761 nucleotides) under Podarcis lilfordi (Lilford's wall lizard). The record is from RNAcentral. Lineage: Eukaryota; Metazoa; Chordata; Lepidosauria; Squamata; Lacertidae.